CCCUUAGAUGUCCUGGGCCGCACGCGCGCUACAAUGACUCACUCAGAAAGUUUUUCCUGAUCCGGAAGGAUUCGGGUAAUCUUCAUAGCAUAAGUCGUGUUAGGGAUCGAUCUUUGCAAUUAUAGAUCUUGAACGAGGAAUGCCUAGUAAGUGCAGCUCAUCAGUCUGUACUGAUUACGUCCCUGCCCUUUGUACACACCGCCCGUCGCUCCUACCGAUUGAGUGGUCCGGUGAACCUUCUGGACUAAGCAGCAAUGCUUGAGAAGUUAGGUAAACCUUAUCACUUAGAGGAAGGAGAAGUCGUAACA
This 308-nucleotide ribosomal RNA is filed under the name uncultured eukaryote. Its description in RNAcentral is "partial 18S ribosomal RNA". It matches the Rfam family "Eukaryotic small subunit ribosomal RNA", at positions 1470 to 1796 of the family's 1831-position model. The record is from RNAcentral.